This 424-nucleotide ribosomal RNA is filed under the name uncultured Allobrachymonas sp. Its description in RNAcentral is "bacterial SSU rRNA". It matches the Rfam family "Bacterial small subunit ribosomal RNA", at positions 956 to 1382 of the family's 1533-position model. Lineage: Bacteria; Pseudomonadati; Pseudomonadota; Betaproteobacteria; Burkholderiales; Comamonadaceae. The record is from RNAcentral.
GCAACGACGAAAACCUUAACCCACCUUUGUACAUGGCAGGAAUCCCGAAGAGAUUGGGUAGUGCUCGAAAGAGAACCUGCACACAGGUGCUGCAUGGCUGUCGUCAGCUCGUGUCGUGAGAUGUUGGGUUAAGUCCCGCAACGAGCGCAACCCUUGCCAUUAGUUGCUACGAAAGGGCACUCUAAUGGGACUGCCGGUGACAAACCGGAGGAAGGUGGGGAUGACGUCAAGUCCUCAUGGCCCUUAUAGGUGGGGCUACACACGUCAUACAAUGGCCGGUACAGAGGGUAGCCAACCCGCGAGGGGGAGCCAAUCCCACAAAGCCGGUCGUAGUCCGGAUCGCAGUCUGCAACUCGACUGCGUGAAGUCGGAAUCGCUAGUAAUCGCGGAUCAGCAUGUCGCGGUGAAUACGUUCCCGGGUCUU